Molecule: ribosomal RNA, 320 nt
Filed under: uncultured eukaryote
Lineage: Eukaryota
Description: partial 18S ribosomal RNA
Rfam family: Eukaryotic small subunit ribosomal RNA
Source: RNAcentral
CCCCUAGAUGUUCUGGGCCGCACGCGCGCUACACUGAACAGUUCAACAAGUCUUAACCUUGGCCGAUAGGUCUGGGUAAUCUUUGAACGCUGUUCGUGAUUGGGAUAGACCUUUGCAAUUAUGGGUCUUCAACGAGGAAUUCCUAGUAAACGCAAGUCAUCAGCUUGCAUUGAUUACGUCCCUGCCCUUUGUACACACCGCCCGUCGCACCUACCGAUUGAAUGGUCCGGUGAAAUCUCGGGACGGCGGCUUGGUCGCUUGCGUCCGACUGCUGAAACUUCAUUAAACCAUAUCAUUUAGAGGAAGGUGAAGUCGUAACA